CAUAGUCAAAAAUCAAAAUAGUUGUCAUUUUAUUGAAUUUUUUCUUUCUUUUUUUCUCUAUAAGAGAUCUGAAAUUCAAUGGCCAUGGAAGAGAGGGACUGGCAGAAGAGAGUGAGCAUACACAUAUAAUUAUAUAAACAUGUUUACAUAAUUCUUUUGAUAUAUAUAUAUAUAAUUUUGCGUGUGCUCACUUCUCUUUCUGUCAAUCUCUCUUAGAAGAAUCAAUUCAAAUAGUACGUAAACCAGAUUUAGAUUGUACCGCGAGAUUUAUUUCUAUUGUGUUGAAGGAAGAAAUAUAAUGAGUCAAACCCUAGUGGAAAAGGAUCGAAUUGGCCUAACCUAUGAUGUAUCGCCAGGUAGACUUAUACGUUUUAAUUAUCGAAUUCUGUUAGUGAAAAUUCGUUAAAUAAAUGUUAUCUACGAGUAAUUUUUCGAGUAGAGAUAUUAUUGUAUACUUCCUCUUCUAUACGAAGAAAGAUAGAGAAUAAUUAUUUCGAAUCAAAUUUAGAACUUGCUUCGAUAUGAUAGAAAUCUCUCUAUUAGAGACCUAUAGAUUGAUGAUUUCAUAAUUCAUGUGAUAAUAUAUUUAUAUAUUUUAAAUUUUCGAUUUAGUUGAACUCUCAGAACCUUUAUAGAAAAAUGUGAUAAAAAAGGAUGGAGACAAUGAAUUUAGGUAGUAAAAAAGAUUGUACCUUUUAAGGUAUCACCCUAGACAUAGACAUGACACUAACCAGAAAAUUUUUUUUACAUUUGACUAUGAAACAAUAUUUUUUUUUAAUAAUAUUAUCAUUUACAAAGUUUAAAUCUUUAUUAUUUUAGUAUAUUUUUUUUUGGGAAAAUAUCUAGCAGCAGCAAAUCAAGAAAAGUAAAGUUUCCAGUUUUGAGGUUUUAUGGAUUUGUAAGGUAAUCCUGUUUACUGUUCUCAUUAUAACAGAAAAAAAAACUGCAAAUAUUCAUAUUUUUAUUUAUAUUUGAGAAUUAAUUUGAUAUUAUGAAUGGAGGGCGUAUCAAAAACAAUCUCUAUACUCUUAUACAGAGUUAAUAGGGUGAGAUUUGCCUGCAUCUAUCUUUUGUAGAGUUUCAUUCGUGGAGUUACACUGAGUAUUCACGGAGUAAAGUAGGGAAAAAGGGUAUAUUCGAAUCUUUUUUAGUGAAAAAUUAUAGUAUUUAUAUAUGUGAUCAAAGUUAUCUUUUAUGCAUAUUAUAUAUAUAUAUAUAUAUAUAUAUAUAUAUAUAUAUUUUGGAUCUUUGAAUGUUUACUUUUCAUAUUUUGAACUUCGUUGUGAAAAUUCUGGAGCCGCCACCGACACUUGUAUGUAGGAUGACAUGAAAUCUGUGUUGUAAGUUGAUUUGUUUAUUGAAAUGCUAAGGAUUUGCUUAGUUUUUAUAUGUGGGAUCAUGUUAUAUUUUAUGUAGGUUUUGAUGAGCUACUUUAGUCUCAAUAUUAUGAAGUAAUUAUAUAUGUUUUUUUGGUUCUUUUGUAGAGGGCAAGGAAGAAAAUUAGUAAAGAUUACAACUUUGAAUAUUGCUAUCAAUGGAAGUUGAAAAAGUUCCUCUUACAGGUUAGGAGUUUUUUUUCAAAUUGUGAGGUUUUGUUUGUAUUUGAUAAAUUUUGAAGUUUAUAAUGUGGUUUAGGUUUCAAUUCUAAUGGUUAUAUUGUGUUUUGGGCUAUGUAGCUCGGAAUUUCCAAAAAUGUUAUAUUGUACUCGUGUCGAAUCCCCUAAAAGUGAUGUCUGACACGCGCGCGUUGACAUUUUUGAAGAGUUCAAGCAUAUCAUAUAAUGUGGUUUAGGUUUCAAUUCUAAUGGUUAUGUUGUGUUUUUGGCUAUAUAGCUUGGAAUUUCUAUUUAUGUUGUUGUACUCGUGUCGAAUCCCUUAAAAGUGAUGUCUGACACGCACUCGUUGACAUUCUUGAAGAGUUCAAGCAUAUCAUAUAAUCCUUAAUGAUAUCGGUUAGUUUCAAGUUUGUAUCUUUGGAUAUUGGGUGAUUGGGUAUGAAGUGAUAACUUUGUUUCAAACAGAUCUAUUUUGAGUAGUCAAGAUUUGGGGAUUUUUGUUUUUGGUGGAAUUAGUGAUACCAUAGAGAUGUGUUACUGUAACUUGAGGCAGUAAAGAUGUUAUCUUUUCGAAAUUAAUCGAGAGAUAUGUUACAUAGGGGGACUUCGCGAGGACCUAGUAUUAGCAUUUUGCAUAGAAAAGCAAUUUUUGGAGUAGACGCGGAGAAAGAUUCAGGAUGUAAGCUUUCUAGGUUCAGCCUGUUUAAGAUUUUUAUCAUUGAACCCUUUGUAGUUUUUACACGUAAGGAAGUAUUGUGUUCAGAUGAACCUGUUGUUAAAUAGAUGUAUCUGUAUAGGUUAUUAUUAAGUUACGUGAUCAUAGUUUUUAUAUAAGUGAUUCUAUUUCCUUCUUAUUGAUGCUUUCAAAUGAGAAAUGAAACAUUGCAGUGACGUGCUUACGUUCAGUUCAUAUAAGGUAGGUUUCUCCGAAAGCAAUAUUAGAGUUAUUUUCUACAUAAUAUGAUAAGGUUUUGAUUUGUUGUGACAAUAUGUAGAGUCUCCAACAAUUUCUGAACUCAAAUUGCACUAUGAAUGAGGCUAAAUGGGACAUUAUUAUCUUUGAAAGUAGAAACACUCGAAGAGUUUCUUGUUUGAACACAAAGUAAAUGUCGAGUCUUCCAUAAGAAACACAAAACCAGUAGUACUCAUUUGAUUCACCCCUUUCAGUGUUGCCAUUUGCCAACAAAGUUCGAAAAUAUGGAGAAAGUCAAUAGUCUAUAAUUGAUUUAAUCACCUUUGACAUAUCGAUGAGUCAAGAGUACGUUCUUCCAUCAAUCAUCCAAGUUCUUAUGUACUCUUUAAGUAAGUGUUAUCCUGCAAAACACUUAAAAGAUCUAUAUAAUGGCUUUGAAUAAUCAAACUAAUACACUAUACGAUAUAUAUAAAGUCCAACUCGAAAGUAUUCUCCCUAAAAUAUCGCGGAGGGGAAAUGGUAAAAAGUAGAAGGUUAGAAGGAAGAAACAUAUGUAGAGUUGAUAUUUCCUCUUCUUGCUUGAUUUGCUCCAAUGAACCGAAAAAUGUAAAGUAAAUUAAAUUAAUCUACUUCAUUUGUUAAACUUCCGUCUUAGCUUGGGACUUCAUCAAAAGACGAAAAUCUUGUUAGCCAUAGAAAAUAUAUGACUUACUUGAUCAAAGUCUUGAUAUAAAUGAGUUUGAAUUCUUUCUUAUCGAUGCAUCUUCGAAUGAAAUAGGACCUUGGAUUGAUUUUGUUACUUCAUUCAUGAUAUAAUAGCUUUCCUCCUGAAGAAAUAACAUAGUUAUCAUUUCUCGUGUCUAAGGAUGUUCAUGGUUCGGUCUGAUUCAGUAGUAUCGCAUUUCUUAGUGAUUACUUUGUUCAGACUCCAGAUAGAUCUAAUUUGACUAAUUAAAAAUUUGGGGAUUUGGUUUUGAUUGAACAAAUAUAGCAUUAAGAAUCAACUAAAUCUUGCCCUCUACUUCAAUGCCUUACUAAAUAUGUCAGUGAAGUGAUCAUAGUUACUUGAAGUGAAUUCUACUUCUUUCUUCUUGAUGCUUCCGGAUUACGUAGAAUAUUGUAUCGAUGAUAUAUUGUUGUUGUGUCUUCCAUGAAAUAGUAGCCAGUGGUACUCUUGCGAUCAUAUACUGUUGCUUGUGCGAUUUCAUUCGUGACAUGCUAUUCUGCUUUAGAGUUUUCUUGUAUCUAGCUUGUAUAAACUUCAUGAGUCCAAUGCUAAGAUAUUUGAAGAUAUGUGAUUACUGUCAUCACUUGCUUGAUUUCACCAACAUAUGUACUAGCUCACCGGGUAACUUUGUCCACCAAGAUUUAACAAAUGAGAGCAAAACACCUUGCCUCCACGGAGGUAUGAACCUGAGAUCUCGUAGUUCUCCUCUCACUUUAUUGACCACAAUUAAGCACACCGUACCCUUGGUGAAAUUAUUGAUAGUUGUGGUUGUCGUUUACAUGGUAUGUGACACCACACAAUGUUGACUAGUGUUGAGCCAGGAGAAAUUCCAUUGGAUCAUUAUAGCGCUCGUUGAACAGUUGAGCAGAAAUGAAAAGGUUAUAAGAAAGUAGAAAACCCGUAUCAAUCGAUCUCCAUAGGAGACAACAUGAGCAAAAAGGACGAGAAUACCUCCGUUUCCAUCUUGUUUAUCAAAAAGUGUUCUUAUGUGCAUAAAUGGUAAAAGUUGAAAUCCAUGGUCUUGACGAAGCUUUAAUUCCUAUAAGGGCUUCUUUCAGUUUCAAAACUUAGUCUUUAUACUCUUUGGUUAUGAGAAAUCGGUUGGUAUAUUAUUCAACAAGAUGUUUCGGAUGAUUAAAGAAGAUAUAGUAGGUUGUUAAAGGAGAUUUGGUAAGUGUUUACACAAACUAUGUUGCUCGGACUCUUUAAAAAGAGUAGCAGGUACCUGUUGGAUCCUCCAAAAGUAGUGUAUUUUCGGAGGAUCCAACACGUUUGCGGCAUCAACUUUGGAGAGUCUGAGCAACAUAGUGCACAAAUGAUGAUUUCUAAUAAGUUAUUAGUUCAAGCAACAGCUGAUGUAUGAUGUAACUUAAUAAAUAUCCAUACUCAUACUUGUUUCUCCAUUUUUCUUUCUUGCCUUUUCGUUCUUUCUUAAUAAUCAGGGCGUUGAAAAGAUCGAAGGCAUGUGACUGAACUUGUAGUGCAGAUCGUCAACGUCCUGAUUUUCAUCGUGUUGAGUUGAGUUGGAUAUGGGGGAGAAAAGCUUGUUGGUUUGAAGUUGAAAGAUAGCCGAUUUACACAACUUUGGCAAGGCUCCAACAUUUAUAUAUAGUCGGAGUACUAAUUAUCCGGCUGUUUUGCUUUCUUGCUGUUUGAUUUGUUUCACUGUGACAGGUUGUAGUAAGGUUGAUUUGUUUCGUCAACCUUUUCCAAUCACAGAAGCUACUAAGGACCCCGGAUUUUUCAGGUGCAAGCAUCUGUAGUCUUAACUGACUCAUACACCUCGAAUUGGUCUCCAGAGCUUCGUCAAUGUAUAGAAGACGUGCAAUGCAGAUGAAUGUACUUACAGAGAUCAAUGAGUAAGAUAUCCAAUGUUGCGCGGAGCUUGGUAUAAAUGAGGCUGGGGGAGUUUCUGUAGUCUGGUUCUCUUGCCUGGAUAGGCCUUUGGGACGGAGCUAGCAUGAGAAGUACGGGUUUGAGUUACUUUGGAGCAAAUCAUGUAUGUUCGUUCAUUGAAUAUCUUUAAAUUUUGAAUUCACCUCUACUCGUAAACAUAGUGUAUGAUCCAAUUUACAGAUAAGAUUGUGAGUUGUAUGUCAAAUUUCACUUCUUAUUUAACUGGUGUGUGUUGUUCAAGUGUUCUUGAUGAGUAACUUUUUAUUAUUGUUGUAUUCUAAGUCAUAUAAAUUCAUAGGUAUAUUUUUUUCCCCUUGUUUCCUAUUUUCAUUUCUUUGAAUGGACUAAUUUUACGAAGUAUUUUGCUACUUUCCAUCAACACAUGAAAUAUCUUUAGCGCUUUGUUUAUUUUCCCUCAAGUGAAGUCUGAAAAGGAUGGAGUACGUGCAAAACUUAACCUAUCUUAACGAAACAAAAGAGAUUAUUUUCAAAAAAUUCUUGACGUUAAGUUUAUAAUAGUGUCAAUAAUGGAUACAAAGUGAGGAUAGGUUAAAAGUGCUGUUGAAUUAUCAGGCCAUGGCCUAACAAAGAAAAGCAAUUGCCAUCAUACCAACAAAGUGGAUAAUACACACCAGAUAAAAAAACAAAAGACAUUAAGCUAUCUUUUCGGGGUCCAAUAUAGAUAUCAAACACCGAUUAGAAAAUGAGCAACCAAUUCUCAAGAAGCCAAUAUACCUUUUACAAGCUGCUAACAUAUAUACAAUCUUUACUAUGUUCUCUUAACACAUGUAUUCUAGAGACCUUCAGAAUUCAGUCACAAUCUCAACAAUACAUGUCCAUUCAUCGCAAAGGAUUCAAUCUAGCCACAAGUUCACAUACAGGCUAUCUUGUUACGACUUCACCCCACUCGAAGACCAAAUAGUGGUCACCAAAUUUGACUACUUUUUGUAAUGAAG
This 6048-nucleotide long non-coding RNA is filed under the name Solanum lycopersicum (tomato). RNAcentral's name for it is "partial TCONS_00190886". Lineage: Eukaryota; Viridiplantae; Streptophyta; Magnoliopsida; Solanales; Solanaceae. The record is from RNAcentral.